AAAGCGUGCGCAGGCGGUUUUGUAAGACUGUCGUGAAAUCCCCGGGCUCAACCUGGGAAUGGCGAUGGUGACUGCAAGGCUAGAGUUUGGCAGAGGGGGGUAGAAUUCCACGUGUAGCAGUGAAAUGCGUAGAUAUGUGGAGGAACACCGAUGUCGAAGGCAGCCCCCUGGGUCAAAACUGACGCUCAUGCACGAAAGCGUGGGGAGCAAACAGGAUUAGAUACCCUAGU
RNAcentral lists this ribosomal RNA (230 nucleotides) under uncultured bacterium. Its description in RNAcentral is "partial 16S ribosomal RNA". It matches the Rfam family "Bacterial small subunit ribosomal RNA", at positions 562 to 791 of the family's 1533-position model. The record is from RNAcentral.